This 395-nucleotide ribosomal RNA is filed under the name uncultured bacterium. Its description in RNAcentral is "bacterial SSU rRNA". It matches the Rfam family "Bacterial small subunit ribosomal RNA", at positions 110 to 518 of the family's 1533-position model. The record is from RNAcentral.
GUAACGCGUGAGCAACCUGACUCUUAGAGGGGGAUAACACCCGGAAACGAGUGCUAAUACCGCAUAAGACCACGACAUGGCAUCAUGACGAGGUCAAAGGAGCAAUCCGCUGAGAGAGGGGCUCGCGUCCCAUUAGAUAGAUGGCGGGGUAACGGCCCACCAUGUCAGCGAUGGGUAGCCGAGCUGAGAGGCUGAUCGGCCACACUGGAACUGAGACACGGUCCAGACUCCUACGGGAGGCAGCAGUGGGGAAUAUUGGGCAAUGGGCGCAAGCCUGACCCAGCAACGCCGCGUGAGGGAAGAAGGCUUUCGGGUUGUAAACCUCUGUCCUUGGUGACGAAACAAAUGACGGUAGCCAAGGAGGAAGCCCCGGCUAACUACGUGCCAGCAGCCGC